RNAcentral lists this ribosomal RNA (482 nucleotides) under uncultured bacterium. Its description in RNAcentral is "partial 16S ribosomal RNA". It matches the Rfam family "Bacterial small subunit ribosomal RNA", at positions 30 to 507 of the family's 1533-position model. The record is from RNAcentral.
AUUGAACGCUGGCGGCAUGCCUUACACAUGCAAGUCGAACGGUAACAGGUCUUCGGAUGCUGACGAGUGGCGAACGGGUGCGUAAUACAUCGGAACGUGCCCGAUCGUGGGGGAUAACGAGGCGAAAGCUUUGCUAAUACCGCAUACGAUCUACGGAUGAAAGCGGGGGAUCUUCGGACCUCGCGCGGACGGAGCGGCCGAUGGCAGAUUAGGUAGUUGGUGGGAUAAAAGCUUACCAAGCCGACGAUCUGUAGCUGGUCUGAGAGGAUGAUCAGCCACACUGGGACUGAGACACGGCCCAGACUCCUACGGGAGGCAGCAGUGGGGAAUUUUGGACAAUAGGCGAAAGCCUGAUCCAGCCAUGCCGCGUGCAGGAUGAAGGCCUUCGGGUUGUAAACUGCUUUUGUACGGAACGAAAAGCCUCUUUCUAAUAAAGAGGGGUCAUGACGGUACCGUAAGAAUAAGCACCGGCUAACUACGUG